GGGCACAUGGUGUAGUUGGUUAUCACGCCCGCUUAGCAUUUCGGUGUCUGCGGGCGGUCCCCGGUUCAAUUCCGGGUGUGUCCA
Molecule: non-coding RNA, 84 nt
Organism: Termitomyces sp. T159_Od127
Lineage: Eukaryota; Fungi; Basidiomycota; Agaricomycetes; Agaricales; Lyophyllaceae
Source: the annotation of a GenBank genome assembly